CCGAUCGAGGACGAGCCCGCGGCGGAUUAGCUUGUUGGUGAGGUAACGGCUCACCAAGGCGACGAUCCGUAGCUGGUCUGAGAGGACGAUCAGCCACACUGGGACUGAGACACGGCCCAG
This 120-nucleotide ribosomal RNA is filed under the name uncultured bacterium. Its description in RNAcentral is "partial 16S ribosomal RNA". It matches the Rfam family "Bacterial small subunit ribosomal RNA", at positions 215 to 334 of the family's 1533-position model. The record is from RNAcentral.